Danio rerio (zebrafish) is the source of this 73-nucleotide non-coding RNA. The record is from Rfam. NCBI's taxonomy places the organism in Eukaryota, Metazoa, Chordata, Actinopteri, Cypriniformes, Danionidae.
GCCCGGCUAGCUAAGUCGGUUGAGCAUGAGACUCUUAAUGUCAGGGUUGUGGGUUCGAGCCCCACGUUGGGCG